AAAAAAAAAAGGGUGUAUAAUAAUAUUUUUAAAUAUUAGUAUAGGUAAAAAAAAAUACUGCUAGUUAAAUUAACGACACUUUUAAAAGUAUUGCUAUAUAUGGAGUCGCUAUAUACACUACAACAAAAAUGGUCUAUAGCGACACUUGUAAAUGUCGGUAUAGGUCAAAAAAGUGCUGCUGGCUAAAUUUACCGACACUUUUGAAAAGUGUUGCUAUAUGUGGGAUCGCUAAAUAUAUAGUGACAAUUAAAGAGUGUUGCUAUAAUCUAAAAGAGUGCUGCUAAUUUACCAACAUUUAUUUAAGUAUUUAGCAACCGCCGGAACUCUACCUCGUUGGCUGCCGUGGCGAAGGCGGACGAGAGGAAAUGAUCUUCGUCUAGGAUUUCAGUCGAUUGAGUGAGGGGAGAAGGGAAAAUGAUAAUCGAGUUUUCUUUUCUUUUUCUUUUUUGUUUGUAAUCAGACCGAAUGGGCUAAGUGGUGUGGGUUGAGGAGAGUACCCUUUUAUUUUUAGUUGGAUUGGACUUUAUAUUUAGGCAUUAGCAGAAUUUUUUUAAAUUUUGGCAUAAAUGUGACACUUAUACAAAAGUGUCCCAAACAUGUGUCGCUAUAACCUAAUUCUGUUGUAUAUAUAGAUAGGACAGUCUUGAUAUUUCGCAUCCACUCCUUUAGCAAUCUGUGGCGGAGAAAUACGUGGCAAUCGUAAUCCUCUACGGUCCCUGUGAGAUCCUCGCGACCGAACUCCAGCCGCCGGAACCUUAUCUCGUCGGCUACGGCGGCGGAGGAGGAGAAGGGGAGAUAGUAAUCUUUUUUUUUUUUAUUUGUAAUUGGGCCGAGUGGAUUCGGUGUGGUUGGUUGAGUAGAGAAACUUUUUGUUUUUGAUUGGAUUAGACUUUAUACUUUAUAUUUAGAUUUUAGUAUAUAUUUUUUUAAAAAAAUGGGCAUAAAUCAGACACUUAUAU
This 959-nucleotide long non-coding RNA is filed under the name Ananas comosus (pineapple). Its description in RNAcentral is "long non-coding RNA (ACOM_LNC026403)". The record is from RNAcentral. Lineage: Eukaryota; Viridiplantae; Streptophyta; Magnoliopsida; Poales; Bromeliaceae.